CCUACGGGAGGCUGCAGUGGGGGAUAUUGCACAAUGGGGGGAACCCUGAUGCAGCGACGCCGCGUGGGUGAAGAAGCGCCUCGGCGCGUAAAGCCCUGUCAGCAGGGAAGAAAAUGACGGUACCUGAAGAAGAAGCCCCGGCUAACUACGUGCCAGCAGCCGCGGUUAUACGUCGGGGGCAAGCGUGAUCCGGAUUUACUGGGUGUAAUGGGGGCGCAGACGGCGAUGCAAGCCAGGAGUGAAAGCCCGGGGUCCAACCCCGGGACUGCUCUUGGAACUGCGUGGCUGGAGUGCAGGAGGGGCAGGCGGAAUUCCUGGUGUAGCGGUGAAAUGCGUAGAUAUCAGGAGGAACACCGGUGGCGAAGGCGGCCUGCUGGACUGCAACUGACGUUGAGGCCCGAAAGCGUGGGGAGCAAACAGGAUUAGAUACCCCUGUAGUC
This 440-nucleotide ribosomal RNA is filed under the name uncultured bacterium. Its description in RNAcentral is "partial 16S ribosomal RNA". It matches the Rfam family "Bacterial small subunit ribosomal RNA", at positions 338 to 795 of the family's 1533-position model. The record is from RNAcentral.